RNAcentral lists this ribosomal RNA (440 nucleotides) under uncultured bacterium. RNAcentral's name for it is "partial 16S ribosomal RNA". It matches the Rfam family "Bacterial small subunit ribosomal RNA", at positions 338 to 795 of the family's 1533-position model. The record is from RNAcentral.
CCUACGGGAGGCAGCAGUGGGGGAUAUUGCACAAUGGGGGGAACCCUGAUGCAGCGACGCCGCGUGGGUGAAGAAGCGCCUCGGCGCGUAAAGCCCUGUCAGCAGGGAAGAAAAUGACGGUAUCUGAAGAAGACGACCAGGCUAACUACGUGCCACCAGCCGCGGUAAGACGUAGGGGGCAAGAGGUAUCCGGAUUUAUGGGGGGUAAAGGGGGCGCAGACGGCGGUGCAAGCCAGGUGUGAAAGCCCGGGGCCCAACCCCGGGACUGUUCUUGAAACUGCGUGGCUGGAGUGCAGGAGGGGCAGGCGGAAUUCCUGGUGUAGCGGUGAAAUGCGUAGAUAUCAGGAGGAACACCAGUGGCGAAGGCGGCCUGCUGGACAGCAACUGACGUUGAGGCGCGAAAGCGUGGGGAGCAAACAGGAUUAGAUACCCUUGUAGUC